UGUCACCGCUUCCAUGCCACACCUCUGCCAUCCCAACAGGGGAACAAUGAGUUGCUGCGUGACAUGGGCAUCAGCACCGUGAUCUCUCUCCUUGGCCAGCUGAGGGAGGAAAUCAGGGAGCUGAAGGGGGAAAACAGGGAGAUGAAGGGGAUGAUAGGAAGGCUGGAGCAAGAGGUCAGGGCCCAAAGGAGAGAGAUGGGGAGACAAGACACACCCCAGACAUCACCCCUUACCAAGCUCCCACUCUCCACCAUGGAGGAGUUUUUGGCAGCA
Molecule: long non-coding RNA, 273 nt
Organism: Neoarius graeffei (lesser salmon catfish)
Lineage: Eukaryota; Metazoa; Chordata; Actinopteri; Siluriformes; Ariidae
Exons: 3
Source: RefSeq, a predicted model, not a curated record